This is a long non-coding RNA of Xiphophorus hellerii (green swordtail), 1621 nucleotides long. RefSeq lists it as uncharacterized. The transcript has 3 exons. Lineage: Eukaryota; Metazoa; Chordata; Actinopteri; Cyprinodontiformes; Poeciliidae. The record is from RefSeq and is a predicted model, not a curated record.
CUGCUGGUCAGAACCAACCAAGAAGGUGUCCAGAACCUGGAAACCAAACAAGCUUUGGUCAGAACACAGGAAGGUUCUGCUGCGGUUCUGGACGGGAUAAACCCAGAGUGGGGCCAAAGCAAUGCAAGUUCAGCGGCUGCAUAGGACCCCCAGGCCACCAGGGGGCUAGCAUGAUUAAAACAUAAAUAUUUAAAAUAACGUUAAAUUAUACAAUCAAAAUUUUACUAAACAUGGAAAAAAAAUUCAAUAUUCAUUUUUGUCACAUAAAUAAUAAUUAAUAUCGUCCUGCUGCCUCUUCUGGGGAAAUAUAAGGUCAAACUUUUCAACUUGUUUACUGUAAAUAUAAUGUUUAUCAGCUGAAGUUACUUUAAAAGGUUAAAAUAAUAUGACACUUAAAUACACGACAAAACACAAAAUGUUACUUCUGAUCUGAUUUCUACUUCAAAUAUCUUGAAACCUGAAAUAAAACAAAAAUAACUCAUAACUUUUCAUUCAGAUAUAUAGAGCUUUUUGAAGUCAGUCAUUUCUUAAUGUUGAUGUAAAACUCUGAGCUGGUUGAUUAUUUCAUCUAUAAGAUGGAAAAAUGUUUUAUUAUAAGUGAAAAAAUCCACCAGUGGAACUGAAACUUUUUCAUCCAUAUUAAUGAAUUAUUUACUGGAAAUAAAAUCCUGUUUCUUGUUGAAAAGUUACUUUUAAAUUUGUGUUGUUUUAUUUCACUAGAAGCUGAAGCAUCUGGUGCCGACCUGCUGGUUUGGGCCCCAGAAAGGCUUGGACCGGCCCUGAAUGAGCCUCCGUGGUUCUUCUUCCUCGUCCUGCCGGUGAAUCAGUUUCUGGUGUUUUAUUUUCUGUCUGGGUUAAAGAGGAAGAUGAAGCCGAUUCCAGCCGAACUGCAGAACGAUGAAGACGCCUGGAGUCGAUUUAACUCUGGAGUUCCUCAAGGCUCAGUUCCAGGUUCUGCUCUUCCCACUGGAUCAGGAUGUGAAACAUUAAAGUUCUUGGCUUCGCCGACGACUCAGAUAUUUAUUAGAGUUUGGGCCUGAACCUCUCAGAUGUUCAUCUUUUCCUCUGAGGAAACUUCCAGCUGUGACAUCAGGACUCAGUUUCUCCUGAACGCCUCUCCCCUCUGCAGCACGUUCUGCAGGUCGUACCGGUGGAGAGGAUGAGGAGGCCGAAGACGACCAGGAGGCUCAGCAACGCCGGCCUGCAAGGCGCCAUGAUGCUGCAGCGGCAAAACGACGGAAACAGUCAGACAGCAAACCGAACCUCAGCCUGGAGGGAAUCAGCCUGGAGGGAAUCAGCCUGGAGGGGAGUCAGCCUGGAGGGGAGUCAGCCUGGAGGGAAUCAGCCUGGAGGGGAGUCAGCCUGGAGGGAGUCAGCCUGGAGGGGAGUCAGCCUGGAGGGGAGUCAGCCUGGAGGGAGUCAGCCUGGAAGGACCUCAGCUGAUGAAGACGAAGACGAUGAAGCCGAGUUUGGUUUUUAUCAGGUCAGCUCCUCCCACAGAGGAGGAGACUUCAUGAUGCAGCCGCUGAACUUUGACCCUAUAUGGCCUGGUGUAUGUAAAUAUCUGACCUUUGAAAUGGGACUUUAAAAAAAUCCACAAUAAAUUCAAACUUUUCAUUUU